UACAGAGGGUGCGAGCGUUAAUCGGAAUUACUGGGCGUAAAGCGUGCGUAGACGGUAGCGUAAGUCAGAUGUGAAAGCCCCGGGCUCAACCUGGGAAUUGCAUUUGAGACGGCUCUGCUCGGGUGCGGAAGAGGGAAGCGGAAUUUCCGGUGUAGCGGUGAAAUGCGUAGAUAUCGGGAGGAACACCUGUGGCGAAAGCGGCGCACUGGACCAUAACUGACGCUGAGGCGCGAAAGCUAGGGGAGCAAACAGG
RNAcentral lists this ribosomal RNA (253 nucleotides) under uncultured bacterium. RNAcentral describes it as "partial 16S ribosomal RNA". It matches the Rfam family "Bacterial small subunit ribosomal RNA", at positions 524 to 776 of the family's 1533-position model. The record is from RNAcentral.